Molecule: transfer RNA, 73 nt
Filed under: Candidatus Fibrimonadales bacterium
Lineage: Bacteria; Pseudomonadati; Fibrobacterota; Fibrobacteria; Candidatus Fibrimonadales
Also listed under: 2 other names
Description: tRNA-Gly
Rfam family: tRNA
About the family: Transfer RNA (tRNA) molecules are approximately 80 nucleotides in length. Their secondary structure includes four short double-helical elements and three loops (D, anti-codon, and T loops). Further hydrogen bonds mediate the characteristic L-shaped molecular structure. tRNAs have two regions of fundamental functional importance: the anti-codon, which is responsible for specific mRNA codon recognition, and the 3' end, to which the tRNAs corresponding amino acid is attached (by aminoacyl-tRNA synthetases). tRNAs cope with the degeneracy of the genetic code in two manners: having more than one tRNA (with a specific anti-codon) for a particular amino acid; and 'wobble' base-pairing, i.e. permitting non-standard base-pairing at the 3rd anti-codon position.
Source: RNAcentral
GCGGGAGUAGCUCAGCUGGUAGAGCGCUAGCUUCCCAAGCUAACGGUCGCGGGUCCGAAUCCCGUCUCCCGCU